UCUCUAGCUCUUGUUCUUUCUCUGACCCUUUCUCUAGCUCUUAUCUAUUCUUUUUGUUUUAUAAUUGUUUCUAGUUUAGAAGUUUAGAGUUACUUAAUACCUAGGUUUUCUAUUUUUUUCCAUUCAGCACCCCCCACUCUACUCAUCCCACCCCCUUAACUUAAUCUAACUCAAUAAUUAUAUCACUUCUAACUUAAUUUAUAAUUCUCAACUAAUUAAUAUCUGAUUAUGACUAUUAUGCCCUCAUAAAUAAAAUAAACACAAACAAUCACAUAAAUAAAAUAAUAAAUAAAUAUCAAUAAUCGAA
Molecule: long non-coding RNA, 307 nt
Filed under: Trifolium pratense (red clover)
Lineage: Eukaryota; Viridiplantae; Streptophyta; Magnoliopsida; Fabales; Fabaceae
Description: long non-coding RNA (TPRA_LNC014160)
Source: RNAcentral